Molecule: small nuclear RNA, 161 nt
Filed under: Echinostoma caproni
Lineage: Eukaryota; Metazoa; Platyhelminthes; Trematoda; Plagiorchiida; Echinostomatidae
Description: U1 spliceosomal RNA
Rfam family: U1 spliceosomal RNA
About the family: U1 is a small nuclear RNA (snRNA) component of the spliceosome (involved in pre-mRNA splicing). Its 5' end forms complementary base pairs with the 5' splice junction, thus defining the 5' donor site of an intron. There are significant differences in sequence and secondary structure between metazoan and yeast U1 snRNAs, the latter being much longer (568 nucleotides as compared to 164 nucleotides in human).
Source: Rfam by way of RNAcentral
AAAGUUUAAGAGCACGCCGGGACCAGGGUGAUCACGUACGCCCUGGCCCCAGGUGGAGGCUCGCCCUUGCACUCUGGCGGGUUGAAACCUGCGACGAUUCCUCAUCGGGCUCGCUCGGGGGCGUAGUUUUUAGCAGUGAGGAGGUCUUCGGACAAUCCCUU